CUGAAAUCAAGUGUGACGACCCCCUGAAUUUAAAGCAUAUA
RNAcentral lists this ribosomal RNA (41 nucleotides) under Euseius stipulatus. RNAcentral's name for it is "partial 28S ribosomal RNA". The record is from RNAcentral. Lineage: Eukaryota; Metazoa; Arthropoda; Arachnida; Mesostigmata; Phytoseiidae.